UACGAAGGGGGCUAGCGUUGUUCGGAAUUACUGGGCGUAAAGCGCACGAAGGCGGAUUUAUAAGUCAGGGGUGAAAUCCCGGGGCUCAACCUCGGAAUUGCCUUUGAUACUGUCUAUCUUGAGUCCGGGAGAGGUGAGUGGAAUUCCUAGUGUAGAGGUGAAAUUCGUAGAUAUUAGGAAGAACACCAGUGGCGAAGGAGGCUCACUGGCCCGGUACUGACCAUCAUGUGCGAAAGCGUGGGGAGCAAACAGG
This 253-nucleotide ribosomal RNA is filed under the name uncultured bacterium. Its description in RNAcentral is "partial 16S ribosomal RNA". It matches the Rfam family "Bacterial small subunit ribosomal RNA", at positions 524 to 776 of the family's 1533-position model. The record is from RNAcentral.